AUUGAACGCUGGCGGCAUGCUUUACACAUGCAAGUCGAACGGCAGCGCGGGCUUCGGCCUGGCGGCGAGUGGCGAACGGGUGAGUAAUGCAUCGGAACGUGCCCAGUAGUGGGGGAUAGCCCGGCGAAAGCCGGAUUAAUACCGCAUACGACCUGAGGGUGAAAGCGGGGGACCGAAAGGCCUCGCGCUAUUGGAGCGGCCGAUGUCGGGUUAGCUAGUUGGUGGGGUAAAGGCUUACCAAGGCGACGAUCCGUAGCUGGUCUGAGAGGACGACCAGCCACCCUGGGACUGAGACACGGCCCAGACUCCUACGGGAGGCAGCAGUGGGGAAUUUUGGACAAUGGGGGCAACCCUGAUCCAGCCAUGCCGCGUGCGGGAAGAAGGCCUUCGGGUUGUAAACCGCUUUUGUUCGGGAAGAAAUCCUCUGGGCUAAUACCCCGGGGGGAUGACGGUACCGGAAGAAUAAGCACCGGCUAACUACGUG
Molecule: ribosomal RNA, 484 nt
Filed under: uncultured bacterium
Lineage: Bacteria
Description: partial 16S ribosomal RNA
Rfam family: Bacterial small subunit ribosomal RNA
Source: RNAcentral